UGAGUAAUGCUUAGGAAUCUGCCUAUUAGUGGGGGACAACAUCUCGAAAGGGAUGCUAAUACCGCAUACGUCCUACGGGAGAAAGCAGGGGAUCUUCGGACCUUGCGCUAAUAGAUGAGCCUAAGUCGGAUUAGCUAGUUGGUGGGGUAAAGGCCUACCAAGGCGACGAUCUGUAGCGGGUCUGAGAGGAUGAUCCGCCACACUGGGACUGAGACACGGCCCAGACUCCUACGGGAGGCAGCAGUGGGGAAUAUUGGACAAUGGGGGGAACCCUGAUCCAGCCAUGCCGCGUGUGUGAAGAAGGCCUUAUGGUUGUAAAGCACUUUAAGCGAGGAGGAGGCUACUCUAGUUAAUACCUAGGGAUAGUGGACGUUACUCGCAGAAUAAGCACCGGCUAACUCUGUGCCAGCAGCCGCGGUAAUACAGAGGGUGCGAGCGUUAAUCGGAUUUACUGGGCGUAAAGCGUGCGUAGGCG
Molecule: ribosomal RNA, 475 nt
Filed under: Acinetobacter sp. MSB5
Lineage: Bacteria; Pseudomonadati; Pseudomonadota; Gammaproteobacteria; Moraxellales; Moraxellaceae
Description: bacterial SSU rRNA
Rfam family: Bacterial small subunit ribosomal RNA
Source: RNAcentral